Molecule: ribosomal RNA, 253 nt
Filed under: uncultured bacterium
Lineage: Bacteria
Description: partial 16S ribosomal RNA
Rfam family: Bacterial small subunit ribosomal RNA
Source: RNAcentral
UACGUAGGGGGCAAGCGUUGUCCGGAAUCAUUGGGCGUAAAGAGCGCGUAGGCGGCCCGGUAAGUCCGCUCUGAAAGUCCGGGGCUCAACCCCGGGAGGCGGGCGGAUACUGUCGGGCUAGAGUCCGGAAGAGGCGAGUGGAAUUCCUGGUGUAGCGGUGAAAUGCGCAGAUAUCAGGAGGAACACCAAGGGCGAAGGCAGCUCGCUGGGACGGUACUGACGCUGAGGCGCGAAAGCGUGGGGAGCGAACAGG